Molecule: long non-coding RNA, 5310 nt
Organism: Lutra lutra (Eurasian river otter)
Lineage: Eukaryota; Metazoa; Chordata; Mammalia; Carnivora; Mustelidae
Exons: 4
Source: RefSeq, a predicted model, not a curated record
ACACAAAUAAAUAGAUAAAAUCUUCAAAAAAAAAAAAAAAAAAAAAAGGCCGACCUCAGGCAGCGGGGGGAAAAGAGCCCAGGAAGUUGAGAAAGUCCUUGGAGUGGGCCAGAGGGCUUAUGGGCAGUGGGGGGAGACGGAGGAGAAGAGGAAAGAACAGGAAACGGAAGGGAGAGGAUUGUGGUUGGAGAAAUGCAAAGGGACACAAAACAAAGAAGUGGGAACUUAGGGAAAAAAAUUAGGGAGCGUGGGUUAGGGUUAGGGUUAGUUUGUGGGAUGGCAGCGGGGUGCGGUGGGGAAGCUGAGUAUGUGUAGUUUGCUUUCUUCUGAGUAACUUGUGCUGACCGAGUUUUGAGGUCGCUGGGGUUCACCUCGCCCCAUCCCGGGGCAGUUAUUACUGCCCGGUAAGGCAAACAUCAGAAGCUCCUGCAGAGGUCACUAGAAGCCCAGAAAGGCAAAAGGCGGAAGCAUGGUCAUUACUCACUACCAGGGCUAGAGAAAUCAUCCUCGGGCCCCACGUUGGGCACCCCGGAAGGCCCCUUCUUCUGGACCCACUUGGCCCCAGAAGCUGUUGGGAUCCAGCUCCAGCCACAGAGAUCGUUUGGAACGUCGAAACUGCACAUCUGCAUCAUGCAGACUGAGGGGCAGAAGAGGGAGAAGGGAGGAUUUAGCUUUUUCUAGGAGGAGGCAGCUCCAAAAAGUACGCCGCAGCCUGGGGUCAGAAUUCUUGAGUGUCAGUCUGUGGCCUACUGCCCGCCAUGGGAGGCUUAAUUCCUGGGACAGAUUGGUUAAGCUGCCUGUUAGUUUCUUCAUUUGUAACUGGGAACAGCAGUACCCGCCUGUCGUAAAUUAGAUCAUAAGUGAGGAGCCGCUAGCAUAAUCCUGUCCUCAGUAAGGGUUAUUUCCUUGCACUCAGCUUCUGGAAUUUACCUUCACUUGAAUUUGCUCCCCUGGAGUCUCUAAUGUCAAGGGCUGAUUGUGGGUGAAAUUGGGGUAAUAGCUAGGGUGACCAGACAUCCAGUUGGGGCCGGGAACGGAGGAUUUCCCGAGAUGCAGGACUUUCAGGGCAAAAAGAGGGGCAGCCCAGGGCAAAGUGGAAUGGUUGGUCACUCGAGAAGAGGUAUCACUACAACCCUAUUAAAAGAGAACCUCUCUUUCAGUGUGGCUGCUUCAGGAUUCAAAGGUGUGAGAUGUGGAGGCAGAGGGAAGCAAGGAGCCCCAACUCCGAGAGAAAGCAGGGUCGUGGUCCCUGAGCUAUUUCUGCCACCCUCGGCAGGUGGUGGAGGCAGAGAGAGGAAGAGGGACUGGGGCUUACUGUGAUUACAGGAGCCCCGAUGGAUAGAGAUUGCAUCCAGAGAGAUGUCCAGGCCACUCGGGCAGCCUGGGCAGAUGGGGACCAGAGGGGAGGCCUGGCUGGAGCUGGGGGGACAGAAGAGGCUGUCAAGGUAAGCAGUCUGAAAAGAAGUCAAGGAAUAAGGUGCAAAAAAGAGGUAUUUGCCCUCCAGCUUGGCCUGGCAUCACCGUUCAGCAGGGCACUGAGGUGAGUUUUGGUGUCUCCCCAGCAAGGCUCUGUCCCCAAGUUUAAGCUGAUUUCCUCCGACUUCCUCCUGCUUCGGGGCCUCAGGCUGGCCCUAUGACAUCCUUAGAUCUGGACAGUCCUUCUGGCCCUUGAGAUGUCACCCCUGGCCGUGGAGUGUCCGUGGGACAGGCUAGUGCUGAGCUGCUCACCCCUCGACAGGGGUCAGGAGUGGGGGUGCAGAGGCGUGGCACAGACAGCAGUGGUAAGUGAGGUGGUGGAUGUGUCCAGGGUGGGAGCACCUGGUCACCUGUCCCCUCUCCUGCAGGCCUCCCCUGUGUACAGCGUCAGCUUGCCCCGCAGGAAAUUGGAGUAGAUUCGGAAAAGUUUGCACAAAGUAUCAACAGUGAAUGUUCGGAGUGGAGCAGCAGAAGCUUCCUCUGGAAGGGAGCUGGCCUCCUUCUGCCAAGGAGACAACAGAAAGUUACAGCAGUUGGGGGAAGGGGGGGACCCUGGAGGUGAGGUGUGAGGGAGGCUCCUACCCACCUGGGCUCCCAGCGCCCGCAGCAGGGAGGUGAGGCUGCGUAGGCUACUGACGGCUUUGUCCACAUGCAGCUGUAGGGUCUCAGAUGGCUGCGAGGCGUUGGCCAACAGGGCCUGGCCCCGCAGGAUGGCUUCCGAGAGCAGAGCCAGGCCCUGCCAGACUUCCACGGCCUGCUGCCCGACCUAAAGCAAAUGGAGACUUGGAGUCAGCAGCCCAAGCCCGCCCCUCCCUCUCAGCAGCCCCAAGCACCAGCCUGAACAAAGUGAAGGCUUAGAAUCAGUUUUGUUGAACGAAUGAAUGAAUGAAUGAAUGAACAAGAACAAACAAAGGAACAUAAUGUGUUCAGCCUUCAUUUUCUAUCGCUCUCCCUCCCACCCCAUCAGGUUCCCACAAAGAGACUCCCCAUGAAGAAGGAAAAAAUAAACUCACGUCCAUCCUCUUCCAGGUGUAGAAAUUAACCUUGGUGUCUGGGACGGUGAUAUUCUCACUGAAGCUGCAGCCUUGAGCACAGCCCAUCUGAAAUGCACCCCCAGGGGUGGGGUAGGGUGGGUCAGGCUCCCCAAAAGCUCCGUCCACCUUUGGCCCUUACCUAGCUUCCAGGUGAGCACUGGGGACAACCACUUGUAUCACUUCCACUGGGGGCUCUGACUUCCCACCUUCUCCACCCCUGAACCAAGUACCAGGAAGGGGACUCCAGUUCCUGGAUCCUGGAGGGCACCCUUGGACUCCUGCGAGUGAGUUCUGUGGAAUGUCCUGAGGAGGGGGCCUCACCGUGACAUUUUCUGCCUCCCGGGCCUCCAGGAUAUAUCUCUCCAGGACUCGGCUGUCACAAAUGAGGCGAGGGGGGGCGCCCAGGACUGGGAGGCCCAGAGGAAGCAGCAGCAAAGACAGCAGAAGCAACAGGGCAGGACAUUCUAGAAAAGAGUGCCAGGCUGAGCGUAUGGCUCUGGAGCGGCAGGUUCACACAUCCUGCUCCACUGCCCCCAGCGAGGCGCUCCGGACCCCCCACCUUCCCAGCGCUGGAGUUCUGCCUCCUCUGCCUUCAUUCAAUCCGCUGCGGCACACACCCUCCCCCCUAAACUACCGGCAUCCACUUCUCCCGGACAAACUUCGAUCCCGCUGUGGCAGAGGCUUCCCUUUUCGCAGAUCCCGGUGAUUGCUCCAAGACCCAGGUAUCCGCUUUGCCCCUCGCACGUAGCGGCCCCUCUUCUCCCCGAACCCCCCAACCGCGCCCCCUUGUCCAGGUCGGAUUUCACCUUUCACAGGGGCUCCUUAAGCCCUGCCGGCACGUGGAGGCUGCCCCAUCCCCCUUGCCCUUCCGGGGUCCUUGGCAAGUUGUCGGUCCUUGAACCCAGUCACCUCCGGGCCACUAGCCCCAGCGGUAAAUUCCUGCUCAAACAGGGGCCCGGGCGGGCGGGGGCUCCUCUGGCCGGCGAGUACUCACCGCACACCCCCAUCUCCGCGCCUCCCCCGGCCCCUCAGCGACCAGGGGCUCGGCCGGCGCCCUUGCCGGGAGCCCUCAUCCUGGGAAUCGCGGUGGGGCAGGGCCGUCCGUCCCCACGGCCCGAAGUAGGGGGCCGCCGUCCAGGGGCCGCCGAGCCGGGGUCGCACGGAGCGAACGCAAGGCUCUCGGCCAGGGUCCGCGAGGAGUGGCGCGCGGCGACCGGCCGGGGUUGGCCCGGGGACUGCGGCUCGGCCGGGGGUCGGGGCUGUUAUCAGCAUGUGUGCGUGCGUGUGUGGGGGUGGGGGGCAGGCUGUGUGCGUGAGGGGUCGCCAGAGGUAAGGGCCAGAGGGGUCAGACCGGGGCAGGACGCCUGGGUCGGGGGCUCGCCGGGGUGGGAGGAGAGCGGCCGCAGGAGCGGAGCGGGGCACCGGUGUGCCCCGCCGACCCCGGGUUCUGGGAGGCGCGACUGGGUGCGCACCGGCGGGAGGUGCGCAUUCCCAUUCCGGGAAAGGCUGGGGACCUCGUGGCUCCCCCAAUCCCGGGGUGGGGGUGUGGUUGGGGGGGGGCGGGUUGGCACGUCCCAGUCUUGGGCGGGGGUUCAGAGCUGGGAACGCCGGUUCCUGGCAGAGGCAAGCUGCCUUCCUUCUCACAAUUCCAGUACAUGUUCUAGAAGCCAGUAUUGUUCAUGUUGAGGAAUUUGAUGGGGGCACACGGAGUAAGAAAUGUGGGGGUCUUCUGUCCCCCACUCUUCACUUUUCUAGGACUCUGAGAACCCAGAACUUGAACUUUGAGGGCACUGGGCACAUGGUCUGUUGUGCAGGACACGUGUGCACUUUGACAUCCUUUUUGGUCUUUGUUGUUUGGGGUUUUGACCUGUGAUAUAGGUUAGCCCGCGUGGCGAAAUUCGUUAGAACUCUGAAACAGGGCUGUUCCCCAGACUGAUGGUGGCUGAGAUUUGCAGCUAAGCCUCAGGGGCUUCUAGGAAGCAGGGGGCCAAGCCCCCUAGAGCAGGAGUCGGUGGGCUGGCCUCUCACACCUUGGAAAGUGGUCUCAGUCCUGAUCCUCAGUGCCCUGACCUGUCAAAGCAGGGUGUGUGAUGAGGUCUCAGUUCCAAAGUCCUACAAAUACAGGUAGUUAUGUAUCUUCCCUGGCUUCCUUCCCAGUUCCGUGACCUGACAUGAAAGAUAUUUUAUUCACAGGAUCAGUGCCUUCUUUGUGCAAGUCAGGUGACUACAAACUUUGCAAGACAAAAAAGAUGUGUUUGAGAGCUAGCUCCCGCCUCCUGGAGUUUGUAGCUUACAACAGAGAUAAGAUGGGUACACAGGGCAGUGUGUGAGGACCGGAGCGUUCAGAGCCUAGCGGGAAGGGUUUGGAAGAGGCAGAGCUCAUUGUUAGCUAGGGGAGUCGAUGAAUAUUUGAUGCAGAGGGUGACAUGAGCUCAGCCUUGAAUGGCCCCCAGCAUUUCAGUAGGAAGAGAUGUGAAGUGGAAAUGAAGCCAGUUCAGCAAGGGAAAGGGGGGAGGGCUCAGGUGUGUCAGGAUGGAGGGUGUGGACUACAAAGGUGGCAGACACUAGGCCAGAGGGCUGGUUAGAGAGUGGUCAGGUUGUGAAGGGCCUUGAAUGCCGCGCUUAAGAAUUUGGAUUUGGGGCACCUGGGUGGCUCACUUGGUUGAGCAUCCGGCUCUUGGUUUCAGCAGGUCGUGAUCUCAUGGGUCAUGCAAUAGAGCCCUUCAUGGGCCCCACGCUCAGCGGGGAAUUUGCUGGAAAGAUUCUCUCCCUCUGGCCCACCCCACCAUGUGUGCAGCCA